AUGCACGCUGGCGGCGUGCCUAAUACAUGCAAGUCGCGCGAACAGACGAGGAGCUUGCUCCUCUGACGUUAGCGGCGGACGGGUGAGUAACACGUGGAUAACCUACCUAUAAGACUGGGAUAACUUCGGGAAACCGGAGCUAAUACCGGAUAAUAUAUUGAACCGCAUGGUUCAAUAGUGAAAGACGGUUUUGCUGUCACUUAUAGAUGGAUCCGCGCCGCAUUAGCUAGUUGGUAAGGUAACGGCUUACCAAGGCAACGAUGCGUAGCCGACCUGAGAGGGUGAUCGGCCACACUGGAACUGAGACACGGUCCAGACUCCUACGGGAGGCAGCAGUAGGGAAUCUUCCGCAAAGGGCGAAAGCCUGACGGAGCAACGCCGCGUGAGUGAUGAAGGUCUUCGGAUCGUAAAACUCUGUUAUUAGGGAAGAACAAAUGUGUAAGUAACUAUGCACGUCUUGACGGUACCUAAUCAGAAAGCCACGGCUAACUACGUG
RNAcentral lists this ribosomal RNA (496 nucleotides) under uncultured bacterium. RNAcentral describes it as "partial 16S ribosomal RNA". It matches the Rfam family "Bacterial small subunit ribosomal RNA", at positions 29 to 507 of the family's 1533-position model. The record is from RNAcentral.